RNAcentral lists this ribosomal RNA (468 nucleotides) under uncultured bacterium. Its description in RNAcentral is "partial 16S ribosomal RNA". It matches the Rfam family "Bacterial small subunit ribosomal RNA", at positions 28 to 507 of the family's 1533-position model. The record is from RNAcentral.
GACGAACGCUGGCGGCGUGCUUAACACAUGCAAGUCGAACGGAAAGGCCCUGCUUUUGUGGGGUGCUCGAGUGGCGAACGGGUGAGUAACACGUGAGUAACCUGCCCUUGACUUUGGGAUAACUUCAGGAAACUGGGGCUAAUACCGGAUAGGAGCUCCUGCUGCAUGGUGGGGGUUGGAAAGUUUCGGCGGUUGGGGAUGGACUCGCGGCUUAUCAGCUUGUUGGUGGGGUAGUGGCUUACCAAGGCUUUGACGGGUAGCCGGCCUGAGCGGGUGACCGGCCACAUUGGGACUGAGAUAAGGCCCAGACUCCUACGGGAGGCAGCAGUGGGGAAUGUUGCACAAUGGGCUGAAGCCUGAUGCAGCAACGCCGCGUGCGGGAUGACGGCCUUCGGGUUGUAAACCGCUUUCGCCUGUGACGAAGCGUGAGUGACGGUAAUGGGUAAAGAAGCACCGGCUAACUACGUG